AGAGUUUGAUCAUGGCUCAGGGUGAACGUUGGCGGCGUGCCUAAAAUAUGCAAGUCGAACGGUUCUUUUAGUUUUUUAUGCUUAUGUGUAUUAAACUUAAAGAAUAGUGGCAAACGGGUGAGUAACGCGUAGAUAACUUACCUCGAAGAUGGGGAUAGCUCGCCGAAAGGUGGGGUAAUACCCAAUGGUCUACACUCACAUAUGUGUUGUGUAGUAAAGCUCCGGCGCUUCGAGAGAGGUCUGUGUUCUAUCAGCUUGUUGGUAAGGUAAUGGCUUACCAAGACUAAGACGGAUAGCUGGCGUGAGAGCGUGACCAGCCACAAUGGGACUGAGACAAGGCCCAUACUCCUACGGGAGGCAGCAAUUAGGAAUCUUGCACAAUGGGGGCAACCCUGAUGCAGCGACGCCGCGUGGAGGAAAAAGGUUUCCGGAUCGUAAACUCCUUUUAUGUGGGAAAAAAACUGAC
This 466-nucleotide ribosomal RNA is filed under the name uncultured bacterium. RNAcentral describes it as "bacterial SSU rRNA". It matches the Rfam family "Bacterial small subunit ribosomal RNA", at positions 8 to 456 of the family's 1533-position model. The record is from RNAcentral.